CUCGUCGUCUCCGUUAGGUUUCAGGUCCACAGCUGAGAACCCGUGGACCUUUGAGGACGGACAGAACUGGAAGUUCAACCUGCAGAGACACAGACUCAUUAUUCACACAGACAACAACAGUGAGUGUGUGUGUGUGUGUGUGUGUGAGUGUGUGUGUCCCUUACCCAAGGUCCUCAACACUGAGGGGGGGUCCGGAGCCCAGCGGGUUCCUCAGCAUCAGGUCCUGCAGUCUGGUGUUCUUCUCAUCUUCGGAUAAACUCUUACUGGCCAGAAUCUGCCUCCUCUUCACCGCCAGCUCCUUCACCUCCUUCAGGAAGCUCGCCCUGCAGGAGGAAGAGGAGGAAGAGGAGGUCAUGUACAGUGCCUGUGACCAGAAAUACUCUCGAUAAUGAACGGCCGCUGUCUCCGCUCUCACCUGUGUGGGUUGACGAGCUGGAAGUCAUCCCAGGUGAGGAUGCCGUGGUACCAGGCCGGCGGUUUGGGUUUCGGGGGGUCCAUAAUGAACUCGGACUUGGAGUCC
This is a long non-coding RNA of Dicentrarchus labrax (European seabass), 520 nucleotides long. RefSeq lists it as uncharacterized. Lineage: Eukaryota; Metazoa; Chordata; Actinopteri; Moronidae. The transcript is spliced from 2 exons. The record is from RefSeq and is a predicted model, not a curated record.